This 401-nucleotide ribosomal RNA is filed under the name uncultured bacterium. RNAcentral describes it as "bacterial SSU rRNA". It matches the Rfam family "Bacterial small subunit ribosomal RNA", at positions 355 to 772 of the family's 1533-position model. The record is from RNAcentral.
UAGGGAAUAUUGCAAAAUGGGCGAAAGCCCGAUGCAGCAACGCCGCGUGGGCGAUGAAGGCCUUCGGGUCGUAAAGCCCUUUUUGAGGGGAUGAGGAAGGACAGUACCCUCAGAAUAAGCCUCGGCUAACUACGUGCCAGCAGCCGCGGUAAAACGUAGGAGGCGAGCGUUAUCCGGAUUUACUGGGCGUAAAGCGCGUGCAGGCGGAUUGGAGAGUUGGAUGUGAAAGCUCCCGGCUUAACUGGGAGAGGUCGUUCAAUACUUCCAGUCUUGAGUGCAGUAGAGGGAAGUGAAAUUCCGGGUGUAGUGGUGAAAUGCGUAGAUAUCCGGAGGAACACCAGUGGCGAAAGCGGCUUCCUGGACUGUAACUGACGCUCAGACGCGAAAGCUAGGGUAGCAAA